RNAcentral lists this transfer RNA (68 nucleotides) under Marmota monax (woodchuck). RNAcentral describes it as "tRNA.Ala". The stretch from base 5 to 65 matches the Rfam family "tRNA", at positions 6 to 65 of the family's 71-position model. From Rfam's summary of the family: Transfer RNA (tRNA) molecules are approximately 80 nucleotides in length. Their secondary structure includes four short double-helical elements and three loops (D, anti-codon, and T loops). Further hydrogen bonds mediate the characteristic L-shaped molecular structure. tRNAs have two regions of fundamental functional importance: the anti-codon, which is responsible for specific mRNA codon recognition, and the 3' end, to which the tRNAs corresponding amino acid is attached (by aminoacyl-tRNA synthetases). tRNAs cope with the degeneracy of the genetic code in two manners: having more than one tRNA (with a specific anti-codon) for a particular amino acid; and 'wobble' base-pairing, i.e. permitting non-standard base-pairing at the 3rd anti-codon position. The record is from RNAcentral. Lineage: Eukaryota; Metazoa; Chordata; Mammalia; Rodentia; Sciuridae.
GGAUUGUAGCUCAGCGGUAGAGCACUUGCCUAGCACGUGCGAGGCCCUGGGUUCAAUCCUCAGCACCA